GCUUCUUUUUCCCCGGAGCUUGCUCCACCGGAAAAAGAAGAGUGGCGAACGGGUGAGUAACACGUGGGUAACCUGCCCAUCAGAAGGGGAUAACACUUGGAAACAGGUGCUAAUACCGUAUAACAAUCGAAACCGCAUGGUUUUGAUUUGAAAGGCGCUUUCGGGUGUCGCUGAUGGAUGGACCCGCGGUGCAUUAGCUAGUUGGUGAGGUAACGGCUCACCAAGGCCACGAUGCAUAGCCGACCUGAGAGGGUGAUCGGCCACAUUGGGACUGAGACACGGCCCAAACUCCUACGGGAGGCAGCAGUAGGGAAUCUUCGGCAAUGGACGAAAGUCUGACCGAGCAACGCCGCGUGAGUGAAGAAGGUUUUCGGAUCGUAAAACUCUGUUGUUAGAGAAGAACAAGGAUGAGAGUAACUGUUCAUCCCUUGACGGUAUCUAACCAGAAAGCCACGGCUAACUACGUGCCAGCAGCCGCGGUAAUACGUAGGUGGCAAGCGUUGUCCGGAUUUAUUGGGCGUAAAGCGAGCGCAGGCGGUUUCUUAAGUCUGAUGUGAAAGCCCCCGGCUCAACCGGGGAGGGUCAUUGGAAACUGGGAGACUUGAGUGCAGAAGAGGAGAGUGGAAUUCCAUGUGUAGCGGUGAAAUGCGUAGAUAUAUGGAGGAACACCAGUGGCGAAGGCGGCUCUCUGGUCUGUAACUGACGCUGAGGCUCGAAAGCGUGGGGAGCAAACAGGAUUAGAUACCCUGGUAGUCCACGCCGUAAACGAUGAGUGCUAAGUGUUGGAGGGUUUCCGCCCUUCAGUGCUGCAGCUAACGCAUUAAGCACUCCGCCUGGGGAGUACGACCGCAAGGUUGAAACUCAAAGGAAUUGACGGGGGCCCGCACAAGCGGUGGAGCAUGUGGUUUAAUUCGAAGCAACGCGAAGAACCUUACCAGGUCUUGACAUCCUUUGACCACUCUAGAGAUAGAGCUUCCCCUUCGGGGGCAAAGUGACAGGUGGUGCAUGGUUGUCGUCAGCUCGUGUCGUGAGAUGUUGGGUUAAGUCCCGCAACGAGCGCAACCCUUAUUGUUAGUUGCCAUCAUUUAGUUGGGCACUCUAGCAAGACUGCCGGUGACAAACCGGAGGAAGGUGGGGAUGACGUCAAAUCAUCAUGCCCCUUAUGACCUGGGCUACACACGUGCUACAAUGGGAAGUACAACGAGUCGCGAAGUCGCGAGGCUAAGCUAAUCUCUUAAAGCUUCUCUCAGUUCGGAUUGUAGGCUGCAACUCGCCUACAUGAAGCCGGAAUCGCUAGUAAUCGCGGAUCAGCACGCCGCGGUGAAUACGUUCCCGGGCCUUGUACACACCGCCCGUCACACCACGAGAGUUUUAACACCCGAAGUCGGUGAGGU
RNAcentral lists this ribosomal RNA (1394 nucleotides) under Enterococcus durans. RNAcentral's name for it is "bacterial SSU rRNA". It matches the Rfam family "Bacterial small subunit ribosomal RNA", at positions 68 to 1436 of the family's 1533-position model. The record is from RNAcentral. Lineage: Bacteria; Bacillati; Bacillota; Bacilli; Lactobacillales; Enterococcaceae.